This 72-nucleotide transfer RNA is filed under the name Ovis aries (sheep). It matches the Rfam family "tRNA". From Rfam's summary of the family: Transfer RNA (tRNA) molecules are approximately 80 nucleotides in length. Their secondary structure includes four short double-helical elements and three loops (D, anti-codon, and T loops). Further hydrogen bonds mediate the characteristic L-shaped molecular structure. tRNAs have two regions of fundamental functional importance: the anti-codon, which is responsible for specific mRNA codon recognition, and the 3' end, to which the tRNAs corresponding amino acid is attached (by aminoacyl-tRNA synthetases). tRNAs cope with the degeneracy of the genetic code in two manners: having more than one tRNA (with a specific anti-codon) for a particular amino acid; and 'wobble' base-pairing, i.e. permitting non-standard base-pairing at the 3rd anti-codon position. The record is from Rfam by way of RNAcentral. Lineage: Eukaryota; Metazoa; Chordata; Mammalia; Artiodactyla; Bovidae.
UCCCUGGUGGCUCAGCCAGUAAAGCGUCUGCCUGCAGUGCAGGAGACCCAGGUUCGAUCCCUGGGUUGGGAA